RNAcentral lists this small nuclear RNA (335 nucleotides) under Octodon degus (degu). RNAcentral's name for it is "7SK RNA (ENSODEG00000024135.1)". The stretch from base 1 to 293 matches the Rfam family "7SK RNA". From Rfam's summary of the family: 7SK was discovered as an abundant small nuclear RNA in the mid-70s but a possible function has only recently been suggested. The record is from RNAcentral. Lineage: Eukaryota; Metazoa; Chordata; Mammalia; Rodentia; Octodontidae.
GAAGUGAGAGUGACCUGACUGUGACGUUUAUCACCCCAUUGGUCACCAGGGUUGAUUUGGCGGAUCUAGAUGGCUAGGUAGAUAUCUCCUUCCUUCUCAACACUUCAUGUGUGUCCCUCCUGAAGCCGCAUGCUCAGUUGAAAAGAAUGGCCACCCCUGAUGGAAGGGAUCGCUCCUCUCUCAAUACAGGUAGCUGCACUCCCUUGCUAAAAUCUCUAAACAAGAGUAUGAGUCUUGUAAUGGAUGAUACACUGUGUCAACUUGAGAAGUUUAGAAGUUUAACUGAGCAGCUCAGCAGUGGGGAAGGGUUCUCACUUUGCAAACAUCCUCACCCU